GAAAAGCUUUUAUCAGAAACAUAAAUCAACAAAGACGCAAUUCAUUUUUUCCCACUUAAUCUACAUCACCACAACCCCAAAAGCCCCCUUUUAAACAAAAUAAAAAAGACCCACCCCCAAUUAAUCGAAACCCGAGGCCCCCAAAAUCCCUCAUCACCAGAUCUCACUAGAUCAAUUCAAAUAGGUACACAAACAUACAUGAAAACAAAGAAG
This 213-nucleotide unclassified non-coding RNA is filed under the name Hevea brasiliensis (rubber tree). The record is from RNAcentral. Lineage: Eukaryota; Viridiplantae; Streptophyta; Magnoliopsida; Malpighiales; Euphorbiaceae.